AUUUCACUCGGCUCGGUCCUGAGGAGAAGGACUCAGCCGCGGCUGCGGGACCUGGGCACCGGAGGCAGUGGCGGCGGCGGCGGCGGCGGCAGCGGCGACAGCAGAGGAAGACGAGGAGGAAGAAGGAAGAAAAAGAAGAGCCAGACGGAGUCCGCAACGACGACAGCUGGGACUGCGGGACCGGGGAAAAGCGGCGGCGGCGGCGGCCCAGCAACCGUGAGGAGAAACAAAAGCCUUCUAAAUUAUAGUUUCCAAUCAGUCUAGGGGAAAAGAGAGCGCGAGCCGAGGGGGGAGGCUUUUCUCCUGUAGAGUAACUACGGUAGCGGGGUUUUCCUUUUUGUCCAUCCCCCUUCCCCCUCCCCCCGGCGGAGAAUCGAACUGAGAGAACUGAACAAACCGCCCCUGGGUCCCAUGAGGGAAAAAAAUCCCGGAGCCGCAGAGAGGGGAAGAGGCAGAAACCGCAGGACCUUCCAGGUCGCCCCCUUGCUCCCCGCACCCCCGGGCCGCCAGCUUGCCCUUGUCCAGUCUCGCUAAUCCCUCCUGAUCGCGACACCCCCCAGAGGGAGAAACGGGUGUUUCCAACCCCUUUCAUGGGGGAAAGGAGGCCGAGGGGAGCCCAAGAACAGCAAACGCAGCAAGAUCUGCACCCGGAGCCCAAGGAACAGCCCCAGAGGCCCACACUGCACCCUACAAAAGAACAGAAACAGGACCAGGAACAGCAGAAAUCUCCCUGCAAUCAUCUUUCCUUUAGUCAAGGCUGAUUUCCUCUUUGGCAACCAGAAAUUCACCUCCCGCCCCAGAUAACCUAAUAUAAUCUAUCUAUAUAUAAAUAUAUAAUAUAUAAUGUUCUUAAAUUAUUCCUGAUUUUUUUAACCAAGCUGCCAAGAAAAGAACGUAUUCACCCCUUAAUCCUAUUCUAAUUUUUAUGUGAAUCUAAACUGCUGAGGAAGACCAUAUGUGAUUGUUAAAUUUUAUAUAUAUAUAUUUUUACUCCGCACAAUGCUUAUUCUUCUAUAUCCAUAGAUGCUUGAGAAGCUGUGUUUUUGUCAUUCAUGAACAUUUUCCUUUGGAAAAAGAAAGCGCCUAUUUUACUAACCAAAGACUUGAUUUUUACCUUUUUCCUUUUUUAUUCCUUCCUUGAAAUAAGCCCAAUUGGAUUCAUAUCAAUAUUUUAAGAGGUUUUUUUUUUUAGGUUCUUUUCCAUUCAGAGAGACCAGAAUUCCAAAUCAGAGAUACGUAGGGUGAUAAGCUGUGAUCUUUGAGUUAGCUAUAAAUAAGAUACUUCAAGCAAACAUAUUUGAGAUACAGGGGAGGAAAGACGUGAGACAUUAGGUUGUCUUUUUUUUAUUGUGAGAUUCUGAUCCUAAAAAUAAUAAAUGGGGGAUUACGGGUUUGGAGUGCUAGUGCAAAGCAAUACUGGGAAUAAAUCUGCUUUUCCAGUCCGAUUCCAUCCACAUCUGCAGCCUCCACACCAUCACCAAAAUGCCACCCCCAACCCUGCUGCUUUUAUAAAUAAUAACACAGCUGCCAAUGGCAGCAGUGCUGGGUCAGCCUGGCUCUUUCCUGCCCCGGCUACUCAUAACAUUCAGGAUGAGAUCUUGGGGUCAGAAAAAGCAAAAAGUCAACAGCAAGAACAACAAGACCCUUUAGAAAAGCAACAGCUCUCCCCGAGUCCAGGUCAGGAAGCUGGAAUACUGCCUGAAACUGAAAAGGCAAAAGCUGAAGAAAAUCCAGGGGACAGUUCUUCAGAAAACAGCAACGG
RNAcentral lists this long non-coding RNA (1762 nucleotides) under Mus musculus (house mouse). RNAcentral's name for it is "long non-coding RNA chr11:31870911-31872673". Lineage: Eukaryota; Metazoa; Chordata; Mammalia; Rodentia; Muridae. The record is from RNAcentral.